CACACAACUCUUGGCAACGGAUAUCUCGACUCUCGCAAUGAAGAUGAACGUAGCAAAAUGCGAUACCUGGUGUGAAUUGCAUAAUCCCACGAACCAUCGAGUUUUUGAACACAAGUUGCGCCCGAGGCCUUCUGGCCGAGGGCACGCCUUCCUGGGCAUCACGC
Molecule: ribosomal RNA, 164 nt
Filed under: Phragmites japonicus
Lineage: Eukaryota; Viridiplantae; Streptophyta; Magnoliopsida; Poales; Poaceae
Description: 5.8S ribosomal RNA
Rfam family: 5.8S ribosomal RNA
About the family: 5.8S ribosomal RNA (5.8S rRNA) is a component of the large subunit of the eukaryotic ribosome.
Source: RNAcentral